RNAcentral lists this ribosomal RNA (744 nucleotides) under uncultured bacterium. RNAcentral describes it as "bacterial SSU rRNA". It matches the Rfam family "Bacterial small subunit ribosomal RNA", at positions 8 to 796 of the family's 1533-position model. The record is from RNAcentral.
AGAGUUUGAUCCUGGCUCAGAACGAACGCUGGCGGCAGGCUUAACACAUGCAAGUCGAACGCGUGUAGCAAUACACGAGUGGCGCACGGGUGAGUAACGCGUGGAUAUCUGCCUUUUGGUUCGGAAUAACCCCGGGAAACUGGGGCUAAUACCGGAUGGUUCCUACGGGAUAAAGAUUUAUCGCCAAAAGAUGAGUCCGCGUACGAUUAGCUAGUUGGUGAGGUAAUGGCUCACCAAGGCGACGAUCGUUAGCUGGUCUGAGAGGACGAUCAGCCACACUGGGACUGAGACACGGCCCAGACUCCUACGGGAGGCAGCAGUGGGGAAUAUUGGACAAUGGGGGCAACCCUGAUCCAGCCAUGCCGCGUGAGUGAUGAAGGCCUUCGGGUUGUAAAGCUCUUUUGGCGGGGACGAUGAUGACGGUACCCGCAGAAUAAGCCCCGGCUAACUUCGUGCCAGCAGCCGCGGUAAGACGAAGGGGGCUAGCGUUGUUCGGAAUUACUGGGCGUAAAGCGUGUGUAGGUGGUUGCCCAAGUUGGAUGUGAAAGCCUUGAGCUCAACUCAAGAAAUGCAUUCAGGACUGGGUGACUAGAGGACCGGAGAGGAUAGUGGAAUUCCCAGUGUAGUGGUGAAAUACGUAGAGAUUGGGAAGAACACCAGUGGCGAAGGCGGCUAUCUGGACGGUUUCUGACACUAAGACACGAAAGCGUGGGGAGCAAACAGGAUUAGAUACCCUAGUAGUCC